AGGUCUGUUUCCUUAUUUCUCUCAUGAAACUUGGCAACACUGUCUCAAACUCUAGCCUCCCUCAUAACGACAACACCGGGAGGACUGAACAUAAAUCACUCACUAGUAUUGCCCGCCUGUUUCCACGUGUUUCCUUGUGUCUCUCUUUUGUUUUGGAACAGUGAAUUAGAGAAUCAGUUUAAUGUUUAAUUGUAUUUGAGUCUUCCUUAUUUUUGUGCACAUUGUCUAAGUUUCCAGUUAUCAAAGUUUACCUGAUUAUUUUUUGUAUGACAUGUAAAAUAGUUUGGUUAAAGCUGCACUAUGUAACUUAACACAAACAAGAACCCUUGUUUAAUAAUAAAUGCAAAUAGUGAAAAA
Non-coding RNA from Xyrichtys novacula (pearly razorfish), 357 nucleotides. The record is from the annotation of a GenBank genome assembly. Lineage: Eukaryota; Metazoa; Chordata; Actinopteri; Labriformes; Labridae.